This 201-nucleotide ribosomal RNA is filed under the name uncultured bacterium. RNAcentral's name for it is "partial 16S ribosomal RNA". It matches the Rfam family "Bacterial small subunit ribosomal RNA", at positions 524 to 723 of the family's 1533-position model. The record is from RNAcentral.
UACGUAGGGUCCGAGCGUUGUCCGGAGUUACUGGGCGUAAAGCGCGCGCAGGCGGCGGUGUUGGCCCGGCGUGAAAGCCCCCGGCGUCAACCGGGGAGGGUCGUCGGGGACCGCACCGCUUGAGGGCGGUAGGGGCUGGUGGAAUGCCUGGUGUAGUGGUGAAAUGCGUAGAGAUCAGGCGGAACACCCGUGGCGAAGGCG